This is a long non-coding RNA of Aedes albopictus (Asian tiger mosquito), 1399 nucleotides long. RefSeq lists it as uncharacterized. NCBI's taxonomy places the organism in Eukaryota, Metazoa, Arthropoda, Insecta, Diptera, Culicidae. The transcript has 2 exons. The record is from RefSeq and is a predicted model, not a curated record.
AUGAAAUAGGGUAAGUGUGCCGAUCGUUGUGGUAAUAAGGUAAAUUAAUUCAAAAAAAUAUGAUCGUACCAUCUAAUGAACGGUUUCAAAACGUUAGUCAGUAGUUUUCUAUCCAUAUUUGCUGGGAAAAAUAUGAAAACUAUCGUUUCUCUCUGUUUUCGAUCAAUAAUCGCAUACCACAACAAUAGGCACACUGUUCCUAUUAUGGAGGUAAAAUUUAAUUUCGGUUCCUAAUGUUGCGGUAUCCCAUUGAAAUCAUAUGGGAUACCGCAACAUUAGGAACACUACCGCAACAAUAGGAACACAGCAGCAGAAAUAUUAAGGAAAAUAUAUUUUUAAACUAGGUUUUUGGGCAAAACUUAAGCACACAAAAAGUGCAAUCUUAUAAAUUAAGCAUAAUACAUCUAUUAAAAAUGACUUUUGGUAACAUUUCAGUCGAAAAAGUGCUCAAAUGCCACUACCGCAACAUUAGGUACUACCACAACGAAGGGAACAAUUACCCUAGGUAUGCAAUAUGCAUAUGUCUGCUGCACUAUCAAAAUUACCCUCAUUAUUAAAGUUACCUCGUUUAACGGUAUUUAAAAUUGUUUUUUGAACCAAUAACGGUUUUCAAUUCAAUUAUUUGUUUCAAUAGUUGAUUUAUUCAAUAGUGAGAAUAUUUUUCAUUUUACUGAAGGAAACCGAUGAAGUUGGAUGUGCACAAACGAUGAGGUAAGUUUCAUUGCCGAUUUUAUGAAUUGUUCAAGUGACCUUCCAGCGGCAUCUCCCGUUCUAGCCAUUAAAAAUACUGUUUAUGUCGGCACUUCGCAGAAGCAGCUCUUAUCGCUCUAUUUUUCUCCCUCCCGUUGUCAUCGUGCGAGGCGUCAUCAUCGAAGCAUUGAGAAGCAAACAAACUGCGCCGAUCAGUCUUACACACACUGACUGGUAUGUAAACGAGCUACCCCGAGGAGCAGCUUAUCAAGUUUUAUUCAAGAGAACAAAAUAAACACUACGUAGUCUAUUCACUAAACUAACAGCUAAAUCGAGCCAGAGGUACACGCUGACGAGCGUUUCUGAAUCCUACCAGCAACAGUCAUAUGUAUGCGAAUGCGAUGUAACCAUUACACAGGGUCGUUUAAUGUGUUAAGCAAGAAUUUCGUUUUCGUUUCAGCGCGAUAUCACCGGUAUGGCUUCUUUCUUCUCCGAUCUAUGAACAAGUCUCGUUCGUUUAUUAAUGGCAUAUACCGUCCGACUAUGAUCGUAACCGCAACUUUCAUAGCGUCUUUAACGAGGCACUACUGGAUAUCACUUCCUUGUCCAAGUAGGACGACGGCGGCGUUGUCAUCAUCGGAGCCGUGCGAAUUAAUAGCUUAUAAAUAAUUUAUGGCCUAGUGGUGUAGCGCCUCCCGCAGGGUGCUCA